GAUACACGGAUAAUAUAAUAAUAUAAAAUAACAAAAAUUAUUAUGUGAUGAUAAAAAAAAAAAUUCUAAUUAAUAUUAUAUUUUUUUAACAAAUAAAAAAAUAUAUUAUCAAUCUUAAUUAUAGUACAUAUUAAAGUACAAAAAUGUCUGCCGCGAACGAACCGGUCCCGCCGUAGGUUAUUUCUAGGGCGAGUAGUCAUUCAUGGUAGAGGUUAAAUUUGUUUAUGUUUUAUUUUGAAAUCAGGAUUAUAGAUUCAUGGCUUCCAACAGACUCAAGAAUCUGCUAUUAAUUACCCCACACUUUCGGUGUUAAGAAAUCCUCGAUUAAGAGACUGAAUAUAAAUGCUGAUAAAAGAGACCAAGCAGGCAAAUAAAAUUUUAUUAAUAUGAUCUGCCGUGUACAUGGCUUAAGUAGGGGCAUUUCCCCACUACAUAAAUUUUAUAAGACUAGAUACUCAAUUUAGCAACUUGGUGGUCGAUUGAAGUUUUAGGUUUAGUUUAACGACUUUUCGGUCAUUUGAAUUUGGGUUUAGUUUAGCGACGUUUCGGUCGUCUGAAUAUCGGUUUAAUUUAACGACGUUUCGGUCGAUUGAAUUUGGGUUUAGUUUAACGACGUUCCGGUCGUUUGGAUUUGGGUUUAAUUUAACGACAUUCCGGUCGUUGGGUUUAGUUUAACGACGUUCCGGUCGUUGGGUUUAGUUUACCGACGUUCCGGUCGUUGGGUUUAAUUUACCGACGUUUCGAUCGUUUGAAACCGAGAUGUUUAUGAAACUGAUUCAUAAAAUUAAUUCAUGCUAGGAGCCCGUUUGUAAAGUCCAUUGAAUUGAUGAAAUUAAUUCAUGAUAUGGGCCAUUUGGAGAGCCCAUUGAAUUAAUUUAUGAUAAGGAGCCAUUUGGAGGGCCCAUUAAUUCAUAAAAUUAACUUAUGACAAGGAGGGCCCAUGAAAUUAAUUCAUAGAAUUAAUCCGUGAUAAAGGGCCUAUUUGGCAGACCCAUGAAAUUAAAUUGUCAAAUCAAUUCAUGAUAGGGGGCCUUUGGAAAGCCCAGAAAAUUGAUUCAUAAUAAAGGGCCCAUUUGGAAAGCCCAUGAAUUCGGUUUGGGUUGGAGGUAUUUUGAUGACAUAGGCUUGGUAGAUUUGAUUGGGUUUUAUUUAUGGACUUUGGAUUUUGGAUCUUUGGGUUUGGAUCUUUAUUUGUGGACUAUGGGUUUUGGAUCUUUAUUUGUGGACUUUGGAUUUUUUUGGGAUUUAGUUUGUGGACUUUGGAAUUUUUGAGAUUUUAUUUGUGGACUUUUGGAUUUUGGAUCUUUGGGUUUUGAAUUAAGAAA
RNAcentral lists this long non-coding RNA (1325 nucleotides) under Ananas comosus (pineapple). RNAcentral describes it as "long non-coding RNA (ACOM_LNC008616)". The record is from RNAcentral. Lineage: Eukaryota; Viridiplantae; Streptophyta; Magnoliopsida; Poales; Bromeliaceae.